UACGUAGGGGGCAAGCGUUGUCCGGAUUUAUUGGGCGUAAAGAGCGUGUAGGCGGCCAUACAGGUCCGUUGUGAAAACUCGAGGCUUAACCUCGAGACGUCGAUGGAAACCGUAUGGCUAGAGUCCGGAAGAGGAGAGUGGAAUUCCCGGUGUAGCGGUGAAAUGCGCAGAUAUCGGGAAGAACACCCGUGGCGAAGGCGGCUCUCUGGGACGGUACUGACGCUGAGACGCGAAAGCGUGGGGAGCGAACAGG
This 253-nucleotide ribosomal RNA is filed under the name uncultured bacterium. Its description in RNAcentral is "partial 16S ribosomal RNA". It matches the Rfam family "Bacterial small subunit ribosomal RNA", at positions 524 to 776 of the family's 1533-position model. The record is from RNAcentral.